GGUGAACGCUGGCGGUAGGCCUAACACAUGCAAGUCGAACGGCAGCACAGUAAGAGCUUGCUCUUACGGGUGGCGAGUGGCGGACGGGUGAGGAAUACAUCGGAAUCUACUUUUUCGUGGGAGAUAACGUAGGGAAACUUACGCUAAUACCGCAUACGACCUACGGGUGAAAGCAGGGGAUCUUCGGACCUUGCGCGAUUGAAUGAGCCGAUGUCGGAUUCGCUAGUUGGCGGGGUAAAGGCCCACCAAGGCGACGAUCCGUAGCUGGUCUGAGAGGAUGAACAGCUACAAUGGAACUUAGACACGGUCCAGACUACUACGGGAGGCAGCAGUGGGGAAUGUUCGAUAAUGGGCGCAAGCCUGAUCCAGACAUACCGCGUGGGUGAAGAAGGCCUUCGGGUUGUAAAGCCCUUUUGUUGCGAAAGAAAAGCAGCAGGUUAAUACCCCGCUGUUCUGACGUUACCCAAAGAAUAAGCCCCGGCUAACUUCGUG
This 492-nucleotide ribosomal RNA is filed under the name uncultured bacterium. RNAcentral describes it as "partial 16S ribosomal RNA". It matches the Rfam family "Bacterial small subunit ribosomal RNA", at positions 28 to 507 of the family's 1533-position model. The record is from RNAcentral.